UCUCUCUCUCUCUCUCUCAUAACUUUAAGAAUUCAAGAGCAACUCUAUGCAAGCUUCUUCAUGGAGGAUAACAAAUCAAAAUUUCAAAAGCAGAAACACGAGGACUCAAAGUAGUGCCAUGGUAGCAGCUAUUGUCGAUGGUGCCAUGGAUGUAGCUAGCUAGCUUCAACGACAAGAGGGGAUUUUGGGUAGGAUGGAUCGAAGGGG
RNAcentral lists this unclassified non-coding RNA (207 nucleotides) under Hevea brasiliensis (rubber tree). Lineage: Eukaryota; Viridiplantae; Streptophyta; Magnoliopsida; Malpighiales; Euphorbiaceae. The record is from RNAcentral.